AGAAGACUAAGCACAUUGGAAAAGACUAAAGUCUGACACUAUCUCGCAUCUAACGUCAAAGACGUUCAUAAUGUGUAAAGACUGGGGAUCUGGAGGGUCACACAUUGCAAGAAUACAACUAGAUUGGUUUUCGAAAAUUUAACCAAGCUAGCUACCUAGCUACUACUAGCGUUAGCUGGUAACUUAAGGAAAAUGCCGAUGCUAAAUAGGA
Etheostoma cragini (Arkansas darter) is the source of this 211-nucleotide long non-coding RNA. RefSeq lists it as uncharacterized. The record is from RefSeq and is a predicted model, not a curated record. NCBI's taxonomy places the organism in Eukaryota, Metazoa, Chordata, Actinopteri, Perciformes, Percidae. The transcript has 3 exons.